RNAcentral lists this long non-coding RNA (1033 nucleotides) under Nicotiana tabacum (common tobacco). RNAcentral describes it as "long non-coding RNA (NTAB_LNC018772)". Lineage: Eukaryota; Viridiplantae; Streptophyta; Magnoliopsida; Solanales; Solanaceae. The record is from RNAcentral.
UAAAACAUGAGAGAUCACGCCACAUAAAACGACCCAACCUGAUAUACUGACGUACAGGCCUAUAAGGCCAAAAUAAUCACUCAUACACUAAACAUAGGCCGACAAGGCCAUACAAUCUUUCAUAUAUAAGACAUAUGUCUUAAAACCUCUAAGAGUACAUAAACGUCAUAAGGACAGGACAGGGCCCCGACAUACCAAUCAAUAUAUGUCUAAAUCAUACUAAUCAAAUAAGUAACUCUGGAGCAAAUGGAGCGCACCAACAUCUUCCGCUGAGUUGAUAGACUACUGCAGGACUCUCAACCUAUCUAUCGGGACCUGCGGGCAUGACACACAGCAUUCCCAAGCAAAAGGGACGUCAGUACAAAUAAUGUGCCGAGUAUGUAAGGAAUGAAAAUCACUAAACAAUAGACCCGAGAGAAACAUGGAGUAAAAGACUCAACAUGUAUAUCUGAAUAGCUAUGUGAAUCAUUUAAUAUUAUAAUAUUAUGAACAUGCGUAUAAAUGUCAUACCAUGCAUGGGUAUAUGCGUUCAUAACAUCAUCAAACCUCUGAGGGCAUCCCAUCAUAUCAUCUCGACCACUAUGGGAAAAUGAUCAACGUAUACCAGCUAAUCAGUUGGUGGUGCGUAUAUAACACCGUAACCUUGUCCUAUAUAUAUACGUCAAUAAAUGAAUGCAAUGCAUUUAUUUAUUGGUCAUGGAUCAAUAAAUAUAUAUAUAACGUCAUCUGGUCAUGGGUCAAUGUAAAUGAAUGUAAUGCAUGAGAAGUAUGUCAAUAAAAUCUCCCGGAAUGUCAUAGGACCAUUAUGCCUAAACUUUAUCAACUUACGUAUUUUCUGAGACCCAUGAACAGAUGAUAGAAUAAUAUGAUACAUGGCGAAUCAGGAACAUAAACAUCUCUAUUAUUUCUAUGAAUAGAGUCAUUUAUGGAAAUUGUGCAUUUGCUUAUUUAAUUUGUGACGUAUAGAUCAUGCCAAAAGAAAGAAGGAAUAGCCUUAACAUACCUGCCGAUUCUAUUGAUAAUCCCUCUAAUU